CUACAGAGGGUGCGAGCGUUAAUCGGAAUUACUGGGCGUAAAGCGCGCGUAGGCGGCUACUUAAGUCAGAUGUGAAAUCCCCGGGCUCAACCUGGGAACUGCAUCUGAUACUGGGUAGCUAGAGUUUAGGAGAGGGAAGUAGAAUUUCAGGUGUAGCGGUGAAAUGCAUAGAGAUCUGAAGGAAUACCAGUGGCGAAGGCGACUUCCUGGCCUAAAACUGACGCUGAGGUGCGAAAGCGUGGGUAGCAAACGGGAUUAGAAACCCCGGUAGUCC
RNAcentral lists this ribosomal RNA (274 nucleotides) under uncultured bacterium. Its description in RNAcentral is "partial 16S ribosomal RNA". It matches the Rfam family "Bacterial small subunit ribosomal RNA", at positions 523 to 796 of the family's 1533-position model. The record is from RNAcentral.